This is a long non-coding RNA of Andrographis paniculata, 807 nucleotides long. RefSeq lists it as uncharacterized. The transcript is spliced from 5 exons. Lineage: Eukaryota; Viridiplantae; Streptophyta; Magnoliopsida; Lamiales; Acanthaceae. The record is from RefSeq and is a predicted model, not a curated record.
GAUUUUGAUGAACAUGAGAGACAAAGGCAGAUUGAUGAGGUUGUUGAGCGAAGGACCCGCGCAUAGAGUCAGGGUGGUCAGGUUGUACCACCGUAUCCGACAAAUGAUCUAGGUUCACACUCGCCAAUAGCUGAUGUUGAGGCUACAAAUGUAGGGGCUUUGGGUUCAACUUCAUCUACAGAUGCAUCUAACUUCAUGCAACAAUAUUCCAUUAGGAUUUCAUGAGACGAGAGCAUUUUUUGGCCUCGAGAAGCUGCGAGUAAAUUUCACAAAGUUUUCCGCUCAAAUAUUCAUCCGACUGGGACUACAUGGAAGAAGGUCCCAAGAGAUACAAAAGAGUGGUAUUGGCGUGAGUUAAAGAAGUAUGUCACUGGGGACCCUUCAGUUGAAAGAAAAGUAAGGCAUUACUAUGAGUUGAAGGCAUUGGGUAUCUAUCCUCAAUGGAUAUAUCAUAUUCGAGUGAACCAGGGGAGGAAAAUGGAGGAGCAAAUUGAUAAGACGGUCUUGGCUGAGUGGCGUAUGUUAUGAGGUUCUGAUAAAGCAAAGGGAAACUUUGAAAUUGCCAAAAAGAAUAGAAGUCGAGGUAAUGCGUCUGCACCCAUUGAGUCAACACAUACUGGGGGGUCUAGAUCUUUUGUGGAGACAUUAGAAAAUUUGGUAUGUAAUAAUUUACUUAUUUAUUUUGAUUAACAUUCAUCCAACUUAAUGAUUAAUAUAUUAUUUGUUCUUCUAAAAAAGGGUUCAAUAAGGUUGUAACAUAUAUAUGGAUCCUCAUCAAGGGACACAAUCGAAAGAAUUACAUAAACU